GGCCUAGUAGCAUAGUGGGAGUGUGGCGAGUCUGCGUUGGCGGGCAUUGCUUAGAUAUCUCGGAGGUCCCCGGUCGAAUCGGGGCUGGGCCA
This is a non-coding RNA of Mycena vulgaris, 92 nucleotides long. NCBI's taxonomy places the organism in Eukaryota, Fungi, Basidiomycota, Agaricomycetes, Agaricales, Mycenaceae. The record is from the annotation of a GenBank genome assembly.